RNAcentral lists this long non-coding RNA (14440 nucleotides) under Populus trichocarpa (black cottonwood). Its description in RNAcentral is "long non-coding RNA (PTRI_LNC001411)". Lineage: Eukaryota; Viridiplantae; Streptophyta; Magnoliopsida; Malpighiales; Salicaceae. The record is from RNAcentral.
AAAUGUCACUUUAUUUUUCUACCUUGAGAGCUUCCACGCAUAAAUUGGCUUAUGAUUUCAUCUUGAGAUUCUAAAUCCAAUAACAUCUGAAAUGUAGAUAAAUUCACCGAGAAUCUUUUACCAACCAUUUCAUCAAUAAGUCGUAUAGCAGUUGAUGAGUCCUGAUUUUGAAGAAAUCCUUGAAUCAUAACAUUAUAUGAGCAACUGUUUGGCAAGAAGCCAUCAUCUUCCAUUUUUCUAAAUAAAUCGUAUGCUUCAUCUGACAGCCCUUCUUUCAGCAGUCCCUUGAUCAUGACAGUGUAUGUCCGUAUAUCAGGCCGUGUUCCAUCCCCAAAAAGCUUAGAAAAUAGUUCCUUCGCAACUUCAAGCUUCCCAGCGAUAAACAUGCCUUCAAUAAGGAUAGUAUAAUGGACAAUAUUAGGUUCUAGUUUCUUCUCUUUCAUUGACUUGAGCAGUUUUAAUGCCUCAUCCAAAUGCCCAUGCUUGCAGAAGCCAUCUAGUAAAAUCACAUAAGUCACCAAAUUUGGAUGCGGGCCAUAAGAACACAUCUCCUUGAAAAGAUUGAGAGCUUCCUUAGGUCUUCCUAAUUGGCACAGACCUUGCAUAAGAGUGCUGUAGGUGACAGUAUCAGGAUUCAAUGCUUUAUGAUACAUUUCAGCAAGGAGUGAUUUUGCCUCAUCCAUCCUUCUACUUUUGCAAUAUCCAUUGAUCAAGAUGUUGUAACUAUGUGCACCAGGUGCACAACCCUUGCGAAUCAUGAUUUCAAACACCUUCUUGGCCUCAUUCAUUAGGCGCUGCAAACAGUACCCAUCCAUCAAAGCAUUGUAAGUGGAAAUAUCUGGCUCUACACCUUUUUCAGUCAUUGUUUCAAAGACAAGCCGAGCUUCUGAAACCAUUCCUUCUUUGCACAGCCCAUCAACCAAAAUAGUGAGGGUCACUGUAUCUGGCAUAACAUCCCUGCCAACCAUUUCUUUGAACAAUCUAGUAGCUUCAUUCAGUUGUCCUAAAAUGCAAAAACCAUGGACCAUGCAGUUGUAAGUAAAAACAUUUGGUGGAAUGCCCCGAUCCAGCAUUUCAGAUAAGAAUUCCAUGGCGUCAUUUACUAGCCUAUCUUUGCAAAGGUUGUCUAUGAUUGUAUUAUAUGUCACCACAUCUGGCUUGCACCCAUUUGGUUCCAUCUUCUUGAACACGUGAACAGCCACAUUUCUGUUGCCAGAUUUGAACAAACCUUUGAUUAUAGUAUUAUAGCUAAUCACAUUAGGCUCAUGCCCUCUCCGUAACAUCUCAUUAAACAAUCCUCCUGCCUCUUUAAUCUUUCCCUCAUUGCAGAGACCAUUAAUGAGUGCAUUGAAUGUGCUAGCAGUGGGAUGAAUACCCAGUUUGAACAUUUUACCCAAGAUAGAGACAGCAAAAUCAACAUGGUUCAAGCGACAAAGGCAGUUAAUCAAUACAUUUAGAGAAUAAACAUUGUGGGUAACACCGAACAAAUCCAUUUGAUUGCACAAAGAGACAACAGUUGAAUACUGUUUCUUUUUAGCGAAGGACCCUAGGAAUUUGCCAAAUUCCGCAACAGAUGGCCUAGGAUUCAUGCGGACCAUGCGAUAGAAUGAAGCCAAAGCAUCAUCAAUACUGAUGUUAGUGCUAUUAUUACUAACAAACCCACCAUUGUUUUGAGGCAAAGAAGGUUUCCUAGUACAAGCAGAAGUGGAGAUGUGGUGAUGAUUGAAGAAUAAGAAAGAAGAAGGAAAGAUACCCAUUUCCAUAUGUUGUUGAAGAAUCCGAAAAUCAGAAGCAGUAGCUCUAUAAGCGCUUUUCCGCGUGAACAUCAUCAUUGUUAGGUUAAAAAGCUGCGUUGUCUCUGACUGUUCCUCACCUCCUUCAAAGCCGAAGAUGAAAGCUUUUCCAAUCUACUCUCUGUCUCUUUCUUAAGCUAUACACUUGUUGCUUUGACUUUCUAUCAUUUCCCCUUGAACAAAUCAUAUUGCAAAACAAAUUUGGAGUCCUUAAAUUGUUAUCAUAUAUAUUAAAAGAGUUUUUUUUAAUUGUAAUAAUAUUUAUUUUUAAAGUAUAUUUUAUUUAAAAAUAUAUUAAAAUAAUUUUUUUAUAUUUUAUAAAAUUUAUUUUUUACUUCACUUGAUUAAAACGAUAUAAAAUUAUUUAAAAAAAUUAAAAUAAAAAAAAUAAGAAUCAAUUUAAAAAAAUACUUUUAAAACACAAAAACAGAAUGUUUUUAAAUAAGUAAUCUAUAUAUGGAAAGUUUUAUGUUGUGGUUUUAGUAAUUUUUGAUAUUUUAUUUGUUAUGUUUUGUGGUUUGUUUUGAUAAAAAAAAUUGGAUAUAAGAAAAAUAAAGAAAAUAAAAUCUAUGAUCCACAUAAAAUAAUAAGAAUAUUUUCACUUGUGAAUUAUCUCUUAUACUUGUAUCUUUUUUUUUAAAGUAGAUUCAGAGUAAUUAAUAAAUAAAUACUAGUUAGUCUCCGAGCACAAUAAAUUUUAUUAUGUAUGUAAUGUUUUAUAUGAACAAUGUUAUUUUUUUUAUUUUGAUUAUUGAACUUUUUUAAUUGUAAUUUCAUCCUCUAAAAUUAAAUUAGCAAAUUUUUAUAUGUUCAGAUUUCUUUUGAUUUGUAUUUUUAUAUAUAUACAAAAUGUAUAAGGAUAUUAUGGUAAUGAAUUAACACAAAUUAUAUUGAUCUCUUUUAAGCAUUAUUAAACUAAAAAAAAACAUAGAAAAAUAUCAAUCAUUAUAUAAAAAUAAAUGGAACAUUAAUUAAUAUUUAAAUAAAAAUAAUUAACAUAAAAGAAAAAAAAAAGAUCAGAUGACAAUGACCUUAGUCUUUCAUAAAAAAGCCUACCCCAGCGUGACUAAUAUUUUAUUUUUUUAUCUUAUUUUUGGAGCAAAUAUAAUAUUGUUUACUCUAGUUAUUUUUUAUUGUAACAAACAACAAGUCAUCUGUUAUGAUAGGUGAUUGUCAGCUACUAAAUUGUUUUUUGAUCACCUCCUAUGAUAAAAAAAUCAGUGUUUAAGUAUUUGGAUUCUAAAAAUUCAUUUUUCUAUUUGUUUUUACCUGAAAACAUCUAAAACAAUCUCACAUGAAAUGCAAUAAACUCGUUCCUAGCUCCAAAACACACUCUAAUCACUUUAAAAAAAUAAUUAAAUGAAAAAAAAAAUAAUGAACCGGAUCAAUUUUUUUCCGGCAUGGUUAUAGAAAAAAUCACCUUCAUUGAACUUUUCUCAAAAAGACGAACCUAUUGAUACAAAUAUCAAUAUUUUUUAUAGUUGGAAUAUGAUCAUCUGAGUAUUUUCUCUCUUUUUAAAAUUUUUGGAUUGAUUUUCUCUCUCCUUUCUUAAUAUAUAGGUAGUGUUUGAUUAUUUUUUCAAGGCAGAAGAGACAUAGGAAAAGAAGAAAGAAAAGAAGACGAAGAGAGAAUUGUGUUUGACAAUGAUGUAAGACAAACCGAUUAUAUUUAUAUUAUGUUUGGUUAUGGUGCACACGAUAUAAGAAAAUAUGAAAAAAUCUAUUUUAUUCUUAAUGUGUAUUGUUGUUAAAUUUACAUAUUUUAAAAAAUAUUUAGAUUUUUUUUUAAUUUAGUUUAUAUUAAGUGAUGAAAUUAAUAAUGUUAUAAUAACUUUAGUUACAAAACUAGGACUAAUCUAACAGGUUGACCCGAAAUCAGGUCAACCUGGGAUCUAGACUGUCUGAGUUUAAGAAGAAAUAGAUAAAAGAUUGACUCAACCUAACCUGAUAAAAAACUCAUGUCAACCCGAGAUAGAACAUGAGUCAAAAACUCGUUGAAUUUUUUGAAAAUUAUUUUUGGUCGAAAGAAGGUUGCUUAGAUUAUUUUUUUAAAAAAAUUGGGUUAAAUGAGUUAACUAUCCCGACUCGUGACCUGAAUCUUAUCUUGAAUUAAGUUUUAAGAUUAUAAUAAUUAUUAUUUUUAUUUAUAUAGUGACUCGGACCAACCCAUGAUAAACAACUGAUUCAUGACUUGGGCCUCACCCUGGUCAAUCAUGAGUCUUUUUCCACUCAACCCCGUGACUCUUCCUCAACUCUGGGUGUCUUGAGUCCAGCUUUGCCUGAACCAUUUAUGAAAGGAACCCAAUGGGCAAUGGACCGUUUUUCUUUUUAUUUGAAGCCCAGGACUAUAUACCCUUGUUGACUUUCACUCGCUUUCUUGUUCAAUAUGACCACGAGUCAAGGGGAAAGAGGGAGUCUGGGGUAUAAAUAGUGUUCAUUGAACAACAUGGAUAAAUGGAGUGUGUUGGUGAAACACAAUGAUAUAAUUAAACUUUCCAUUGGCAGAAUAUCUGCUUGUAAAUUAUGAAAUCUAAUAAUAGGAUUGGUGGCAAUGCAGGAUAAACAGCUCUGGAUCAGCAGCAGAUUGAACUUCUUGGUUUCGUGCUUGUCUUUGGAGAGGGGGGACGGGAUGGCAGAAGAAUAAAAAACCACACCCAUCCCUGGUUCCCCAUGGAGAAAUGAAGUUUCUGAUGAUGGAUUGAGCUCGUACAUACGUUUUCCAAUACCCUGCAGUUGCAUUGAUAGAAAAGUUAGUUGAUCACUGCUGGUUUCCCGAUCUGAAGUUCCAAGAUGUUAAUUGUUCGAGAAGCCAGCUUGUAGAUCAUCAUGAUCUUAUUUAAGCAAUUAAGUGGCUUGUAGAUCAUCAUGAUCUUAUUUAAAUAUUUUUUUAGAUAUCCAUAGAAGAUAGCUUUGAAUAGUUGGUAAAAAAAUCGGGUUAAUAAGAUGUUAGUGAUAAGUAGUUCAAGUUAAGCAUGAAAGUCAGAAAAAAUAUUUAUCCAAUUGUUAAAAAAAUUAUUUUGUAUAAUGAUAUUUAAAAAUAAGAAUUUUGGUAUCUUUAUUGAGUUAUUAAAAUUGUCAAAAUUACAUUAGUCAUUGACUUAAAUUUCUUUUUCUUGCUCAUGAAUGGAUGAUUCUAAAUUUGAAAAUUUAACUUCUCAAUUAUUCGAUCCUAUCUUUUAAUAUCAGUGAUGUAACAACAAUUUUCUAACAAUCCAGUGCCAAAAACAGAUCCCAGGAAGCCACCCUUGAUGUUGCAGAUCAUUCAUUAAAGUUAAAGAACAGAGUAUCGUUAUAACUCACAAGAGGCUCAUCAGCCUACAACGUCACUUGAUAGGAAAAUGUCACUUUAUUUUUCUACCUGGGGAGCUUCCACGCAUAAAUUGGCUUAUGAUUUCAUCUUGAGAUUCUAAAUCCAGUAACAUCUGAACUGUAGACGAAUCCGCCGAGAAUCUUUUACCAACCAUUUCAUCAAUAAGUCGUAUAGCACUUGAUGAGUCCUGAUUUUGAAGAAAUCCUUGAAUGAUAACAUUAUAUGAGCAACUGUUUGGCAAGAAGCCAUCAUCUUCCAUUUUUCUAAAUAAAUCGUAUGCUUCAUCUGACAGCCCUUCUUUCAGCAGUCCCUUGAUCAUGACAGUGUAUGUCCGUAUAUCAGGUCGUAUUCCAUCCCCAAAAAGCUUGGAAAAUAAUUCCUUCGCAACUUCAAGCUUCCCAGCGAUAAACAUGCCUUCAAUAAGGAUAGUAUAAUGGACAAUAUUAGGUUCUAGAUUCUUCUCUUGCAUUGACUUGAGCAGUUUUAAUGCCUCAUCCAAAUGCCCAUGUUUGCAGAAGCCAUCUAGUAAAAUCGAGUAAGUCACCAAAUUUGGAAGCAGGCCAUAAGAACACAUCUCCUUGAAAAUAUUUAGAGCGUCCUUAGGUCUCCCAAAUUGGCACAGACCUUGCAUAAGAGUGCUGUAGGUGACAGUAUCAGGAUUCAAUGCUUUAUGAUACAUUUCAGCAAGCAGUGAUUUUGCCUCGUCCAUCCUUCUACUUUUACAAAAUCCAUUGAUCAAGAUGUUGUAACUAUGUGCACCACGUGCACAACCCUUGCGAAUCAUAAUUUCAAACACCUCCUUGGCCUCAUUCAUUUGGCGCUGUAAACAGUACCCAUCCAUCAAAGCAUUGUAAGUGGAAAUAUUUGGCUCUACACCUUUUUCAGUCAUUGUUUCAAAGACAUGCCGAGCUUCUGAAACCAUUCCUUCUUUGCACAGCCCAUCAACCAAAAUAGUGAAGGUCACUGUAUUUGGCAUAACAUCCCUACCAACCAUUUCUUUGAACAGUCUAGUAGCUUCAUUCAGUUGUCCUAAAUUGCAAAAACCAUGGACUAUGGAGUUGUAAGUAAAAACAUUUGGUGGAAUGCCCCGAUCCAGCAUUUCAGAUAAGAAUUCCAUGGCGUCAUUUACUAGCCUAUCUUUGCAAAGGUUGUCUAUGAUUGUAUUAUAUGUCACCACAUCUGGCUUGCACCCAUUUUGUUCCAUCUUCUUGAACACGUCAACAGCCAUAUUUCUGUUGCCAGAUUUGAACAAACCUUUGAUUAUAGUAUUAUAGCUAAUCACAUUAGGCUCAUGCCCUCUCCGUACCAUCUCAUUAAACAAUCCUACUGCCUCUUUAAUCUUUCCCUCAUUGCAGAGACCAUUAAUGAGUGCAUUGAAUGUGCUAGCAGUGGGAUGAAUACCCAGUUUGAACAUUUUACCCAAGACAGAGACAGAAAAAUCAACAUGGUUCAAGCGACAAAGGCAGUUAAUCAAUAUAUUUAGAGAAUAAACAUUGUGGGUAACACCGAACAAAUCCAUUUGAUUGCACAAAGAGACAACAGUAGAGUACUGUUUUUUUUUGGCAAAGGAGCCUACGACUUUAACAUAUUCCGCAACAGAAGGCCUAGGAUUCAUGCGGACCAUGCGAUAGAAUGAAGCCAAAGCAUCAUCAAUACUGAUGUUAGUGCUAUUAUUACUAACAAACCCACCAUUGUUUUGAGGCAAAGAAGGUUUCCUAGUACAAGCAGAAGUGGAGAUGUGGUGAUGAUUGAAGAAUAAGAAAGAAGAAGGAAAGAAACCCAUUUCCAUAUGUUGUUGAAGAAUCCGAAAAUCAGAAGCAGUAGCUCUAUAAGCGCUUUUCCGCGUGAACAUCAUCAUUGUUAGGUUAAAAAGCUGCGUUAUCUCUGACUGUUCCUCACCUCCUUCAAAGCCGAUGAUGAAAGCUUUUCCAAUCUACUCUGUGUCUUUCUUAAGCUAUACACUUGUUGCUUUGACUUUCCAUCAUUUCCCCUUGAACAAAACAUAUUGCAAAAAAAUUCUGAGUCCUUAAAUCGUUAUCAUAUAUAUUAAUUUUUUUUUUAAUUAUAAUAAUGUUUAUUUUUUAAAGAAUUUUUUAUUUAAAAAUAUAUUAAAAUAUUAUUUUUAUUUUUAAAUUUUUUUUAAACUUACGAUAUAAAAUUAUUUAAAAAAAUUAAUUUAAAAUUAAAAAAAUUAAAAAUCAAUAUUUUAAAAAAACAAUUUGAAACACAAACCGUUUCUAAAAAAAUGAUCUACGCAUAGAAAAUUUUAUGUUGUGGUUUAUUUGUUAUAUUUUUGUGGUUUAUUUUGAAAAAACAAAUAUAGGUAUAAGAAAAAUAAAAAAAAAAAUUUAUGAUCCACCAAAAACAAUAAAAUAUAUUCUCACUCAUAAUUUAUCUCUUAUACUUGUAUCUUUUUAUUUCUUUUAAGUAGAUUUGAGAGAGUAAUUAAUAAAUACAUACUAAUUACUUUCCACAUUAACAAUGUUAUUUUUUUUUAUUUUGAUUAUCAAACUUUUUUAAUUGCAAUUUCAUCCUCUAAAAUUACAUUACCAGGUUUUUAUAUGUUGAGAUUUCUUUUGAUUUGUAUUUUUUUAUAUAAACAAAAUGUCUAAGGAUAUUCUGAUAAUGAAUUAACACAAAUUAUAUUAAUCUUUUUUAAGCAUUAUAAAACUAAAAAAAAACAUAGAAAAAUAUCAAUCAUUAUUUAAAAAUAAAUGGGACAUUAAUUAAUAUUUAAAUAAAAAUAAUUAAUAUGAAAGAAAAAAAAAGAUUAGACGACGAUGACCUUGGCCUUUCAUAAAAAAGCCUACCCCAGCCUGCCUGGUAGUUUAUUGUUUUUAUCUUAUUUUUGGAGAAAACGUAAUAUUGUAUGCUCUAGUUAUUUUUUUAUUGUAAUAAACAACAAAUCAUCUACUAUGAUAGGUGAUUGUCAACUAUUAAAUAGUUUUUUGAUUACCUCCUAUGAAAAGAAAAUCAGUGUUUAAGUAUUUGGAUUCUAAAAAUUCAUUUUUCUAUUCGUUUUUACCUGAAAACAUCUAAAACAAUCUCACAUGAAAUGCAUUAAACUCGUUCCUAGCUCCAAAACACCCUCUAAUUACUCUAAAAAAAUAAUUAAAUGAAGAAAAAAAUAAUGAACCUUGAUCAACUUUUUUUCGGCAUGGUUAUAGCAAAAAUCACAUUCAUUGAACUUUUUUCAAGAAGACGAAUCUAUUGACACAAAAAUCAAUAUUUUUUGUAGUUGGAAUAUGAUCAUAUGAGUAUUUUCUCUCUUUAAAUUUUUAUCUCUCUCCUAUCUUAACAUAUAGGUAGUGUUUGAUUAUUUUUCCAGGAUAGAAGAGACAUAGGAAAAGAAGAAAGAAAAAAGGACAAAGCGAAUUGUGUUUGACAGUGAUGUACAAGAUAAACCGACUAUAUUUAUAUCAUGUUUGGUUAUGGUGCGCACAAUAUAAUAAAAUAUAAAAAAUUUAUUUUAUUCUUAAUAUGUAUUGUUGUCAAAUUUACAUAUUUUAAAAAAUAAUUAAAUUUUUUUUUACUUUAGUUUAUAUUAAGUGAUGAAAUUGAUAAUAUUAUAAUAAUUCUAGUUACAAAACUAGAACUAAUCUAACAGGUUGACCCGAAAUCACGUCAACCCGAGGUCUAAACUAUCUGAGUUUAAGAAGAAAUAUAUAAAAGAUUGACUCGACCUAACCUGAUCAAAAACUCAGGUCAACCCGAGAUAUAACAUAGGUCAAAAACUUGUUGAAUUUUUUAAAAAUUAUUUUUUAUCGGAACAAGAUUGCUUUGAUUAUUUUUAAAAAAAGAUUGGGUUAACCGAGUUAACCUUCCCAACCUGUAAUCUAAACUUUGCCUUGAGUUAAGUUUUAAAAUUAUGAUAAUAAUUAUUUUUAUUUAUGUAGUAACUCGAAUCAACCCACGAUAACCAUCCGUCCCAUAACUUGGACCUUACCCUGCUCAAUCAUGAGUUGACUUUUAAAACUAUUAUUGUAAUAAUAAUAAUAAUUUUUUUUUUCCUUAUUGCACCUCCAGCUAAGUCUUAAUUGGCCCCGCCUUAUUUGCAAUGCCUUGCUAUUAACACAUGAUGUAUGAUGAGGUAGGUUAGGUGCUAGAUAAGCAUUCCCACCAUCAUGCUUGAGAAACAGUAUAACAUGAUCAAUACCAGAAACAGGCAUCUUGUAUCAGGGUUUGGCUCUUGCUUUCGUUACUUUUUUGAAUCAUUCCUAUGUUAGGAUUAGUUGAGGUCACAAUGUUAGGUGCAAAUUCAAAACUUGGAAUACCUAUUUUAAGAUUAGAAAAUUCAUCAAAUAAUGGAAAACAAGACUGGUUAUUGUAUGCAUUGAAGUUAAAGAUCUUUGUAUUGUGAUAACUCACAAGAGGUACAGCAGCCUGCAAUGUCACUUGAUAGGAAAAUGUCACUUCAUUUUUCUACCUCGAGAGCUUCCACGCAUAAAUCGGCUUAUGAUUUCAUCGUGGGAUUCCAGAUCCAGUAACAUCUGAAAUGUAGUUGAAUCCGCUGAGAAUCCUUUACCAACCAUUUCAUCAAUAAGUCGUACAGCAGUUGAUGAGUCCCGAAUUUGAAGAAACCCUUGAAUGAUAACAUUAUAAGAGCAACUGUCCGGCAUGAAGCCAUCAUCUUCCAUUUUUCUAAAUAAUCUGUAUGCUUCAUCUGAUAGCCCUUCUUUAAGAAGACCCUUGAUCAUGACACUGUAUGUAUGUACAGUAGGUCGUAUUCCAUCGACAAAAAGCUUCGAAAAUAGUUCCUUUGCAACUUCAAGCUUCCCAGCGAUAAACAUGCCUUCAAUAAGAAUGGUAUAAAAGACGAUAUCAGGUUCUAAUUUCUUCUCUUGCAUUGACUUGAGCAGUUUUAAUGCCUCAUCCAAAUGUCCAUGUUUCCAGAAGCCAUCUAGCAAAAUCGAGUACGUCACCAAAUUUGGAAGCAGGCCAGUAGAACACAUCUCCUUGAAAAGAUUUAGAGCUUCCUGAGGUCUCCCUACUUGGCACAGGCCUUGCAUAAGAGUGCUGUAAGUGACAGUAUCAGGAGUCAAUUCUUUUUCAGACAUUUCAGCAAGGAGUGACUUUGCCUCGUCCAUCAUUCUACUCUGGCAAUAUCCAUUGAUCAAGAUGUUGUAACUAUGUACAACAGGUACACAACCCUUGCGAACCAUGAUUUCAAAAACCUUCUUGGCCUCAUUCAUUUGGUGUUGUAAACAGUACCCAUCCAUCAAAGCAUUGUAAGUGUAAAUAUUUGGCUCUACACCUUUUUCAGUCAUUGUUUCAAAGACACACCGAGCUUCUGAAACCAUUCCUUCUUUGCACAGCCCAUCAACCAAAAUAGUGAAGGUCACUGUAUCUGGCAUAACAUCCCUGCCAACCAUUUCUUUGAACAAUCUAGUAGCUUCAUUCAGUUGUCCUAAAUUGCAAAAACCAUGGACUAUGGAGUUGUAAGUAACAACAUUUGGUGGAAUGCCCCGAUCCAACAUUUCAGAUAAGAAUUCCAUGGCGUCAUUUACUAGCCUAUUUUUGCAAAGGUUGUCUAUGAUUGUAUUAUAUGUCACAACAUUUGGCUUGCACCCAUUUUGUUCCAUCUUCUUGAACACGUCAACAGCCAUACUUGUGUUGCCGGUUUUGCACAAACCAUUGAUUACAGUAGUAUAGCUAAUUACAUUGGGCUCAUGCCCUCUCUUUACCAUCUCAUUAAACAACUCUACUGCUUCUUUAAUCUUUCCCUCAUUGCAGAGCCCAUUAAUGAGUGCAUUGAAAGUGAUAGCAUCGGGAUGAAUACCAAGUUUGAACAUCUUGCCCAAGACAGAGACAGAAAAAUCAACAUGGUUCAAGCGACAAAGGCAGUUAAUCAAUAUAUUUAGAGAAUAAACAUUGUGGGUGACUCGAAACAAAUCCAUUUGAUUGCACAAAGAGACAACAGUAGAGUACUGUUUUUUUUUGGCAAAGGAGCCUAAGAAUUUGCCAAACUCCACAGCAGAAGGUCUAGGAUUGAUGCGGACCAUGCGAUAGAAUGAAGCCAAGGCAUCAUCAACACAAACGUUAUUGCUAUUAUUACUAACAAACCCAUCAUUGUUUUUAGGCAAAGAAGGUUUCUUUGUAGAAGUAGAAGUAAGAAAGUGGUGAUGAUUGAAGAAUAAGAAACAAGGGAAAUCAGGAAGAAAAGGAGAGAUACCCAUUUCCAUUUGUUGUUGUUGAAGCUGAAAAGCAGAAGCAGAAGCUCUAAAAGCGCUUUUCCGCAUGAACACCGUCAUUGUUAGGUUAAAAAGAUGCUGUCUCUCUGACUGUUCCUCUCCACCUUCGAAGCCGAAGAUAAAGGCUUUUCCACUCAACCCCGUGACUCGUCCUCAAUUCUGGGUGUCUUGUCUUCCGCUUCGCCUGAACCGUUUAUGAAAGGAACCCAAUGGGCAAUGGACCGUUCUACUCUUAACUAAUCUUCUAAAAAUACUCGAAUUAUUUUAAAAAAUUAAAAAUAUUCUUAAAUUAACAAACAUUUCAACAUUAAACCCUUUAAAAAAAAAAAAAACAAUCAUAUAAAUGCGUAGCCUUUGUAUUCGAUUAAGUCACGUUUAGUAUUUCAUUCCAUAUCAGAUUGGAAUUGGACAAAUUAAUUAUAUAAUAUAAAUUAAUUUUUUUAUACUUUUUUAUAUUUUAAUGUAUUAAUAUUAAGAAUAAUUUUUAAAAAUUUAAAAAAUAUUAUUUGAAUAUAUUUACCAUAAAAACAAUAUUUUAAAAAAUAACUACUGUCAAACUGUUAAUCACUUUUAAAUAAAAUAUAGUUAAUAAUUAAUUUAUCUUUAUUAUGAAUAGAAACGUUUUGAAAAUUAAUUUUUUUUAAAUAAAUUAUUUAAAAUUAUUUUUAUAUGUUUUUGAAUUAUUUUAAUGUGUUGAUAUUAAAAAUAAUUUUAAAAAAUUAAAAAAAAUAUUAUUUUAAUAUAUUAAAAAAAAACUGUUUGCGUAACCGUUUUUACUUCUCAAAGCCUGGGGUAAAUAUCUGUCCAAUUGCUUCAAGUACAGAAACAUUCCAUAGCAAACUGUCAAAAUGUAUAUAUAUGGAUCAAUGCUGUGUUUUUUUAAAAUAUUUUGGGCUUGUGAAAAUAUUAAUUAAUUAAUUUAUUUUUAUUGUUUUUUAAUAUUUUUAAUAAAUUGAUAUUGAAAAUUAAAAAAAAACUGAAAAAAAAUUAUUUUUAUAUAAAAAACUAUUUUAGAAAGUAAUUUGCACUGCAAUCUCAAGUACUUGAAAAAAUGCUGCCGUGGAAUGUGUAACUGGGAAAUAUUUUGUAAGAAACAAGAAGUUCCAAAUCCAUGGAGCAGGGCCAGCCUAAUCAGAAAAUAAAACGCCCAAAAGCCCUUAAAAUCCUAAGAACGGGAGAUCAAUAUUCUUCUAGUCUUUGGAUUUGAAGAAAAAAAGAAACAACUUUACUCUGUUCUUGCACCGAAACCCUCAGCUAACAGAAUUUCCUUAAAAGUAAACACUGAAACACCUCAGAAAGAACAUGAAAUUUACAGACACAUUUCAAAGUAGCAUGUUGGGUUUGGGAAAUCGAUAAAAGAACAUGACAUUCUAUGUAGAGCAGAAGUUAUGAAAUAAACUUUAAAAUCAAGGGAAAAUAGUUUUAUCCAGUCAGUUCUCAAUCAUCACUCCACAUUUCCCAAACUAUGCUCUGUUUAUAUAAUAAGCUGGGAUGACGAUAUAGCUAUAUGAUGCCUAAAAUAGUGCUGCUCCCUGUCAAAUACAUCAGGGAUUGGCUCAAAUAAUGCCAGCUGCUUUAAAGCUGAAACUCUAUGCGAAUAAGCAGUUUUAAUUUUUCUGUGAUACCAACUUUAAGUUUUUGAAGAAUGGUUACCUUCUCAAUGUUCUGCAAUCCAAUUGAUGAGAAUCAAAGAAGGGAACCAGCAACUUCAAAUUGAGGGAAUACAACUAUUUAUCAGAUUUCACGGUUUAAGUUUUAGGAUUAAGAUAAUAUUUAACUCAAGAUUAAAGAUAUAAUCUUCUUUGAAGGCUCGAAAGCUGCUGCAUACAAUUUGGCAUUAAUCAAAGGAACGACAAGAUGUUCUAAUGGCAAGAAUCCUUCUUAAAUCUCCUCACCUCAUUUUCUGCAGAAUUGCAGUUUAAUCCUGAUCGAGCAAAUGAAUAAUGUACCUGGUCAAUACUGUACAAACACUUCAUUUAGCCAAGAAGAAUAGAACAACAGCAAAGCUUAAAGGAGUUGAGCAAGCCUUGUUACACGAUGGGUGGAGAGACAAGUCUCCUUGUACAGCAACAAGAAGAAUUAAUUGAGACUGAGAAAUGAGAAGCAGCACGCAGGACUUUUUGCGAGUGUAUACCAUAAAGACAAGCAGCCAUCCACUUAAAACAACCUGUCUGCAGACUCUGGAAAUCAAAACCUGAAUCAAACAAUUCGAGUACCAUGCAAAUGACCACUUGAAAUGCAUAAAACAACCUCAGCUUGUGCUACUGCUUCUGUAGAGUCCUCUUUCCAAGAAAACCGUUAAAACUGUAGAUUUUCAUGAUGAUGGCAACCGAGGUAUCCUCCACCAUUUCCGCAUGUGUUCUAAAAUUGUAGAUUCUCGGGAUAGAUUAGACUCUACCAACCAGUUCUCUCUACAGAUAGACUGCCAGCCUUGUCAACAGCACAUUCAGAUCAGCUCCAAGAGAACCUGCUGUAACUUGGAUAAAAGAAUAAGAUGAAGAGAACCCUCGAGUUCACUUUUUUGAAUCAUUCCUUUGCUAGGAUUAGUAGAGGUCACAAUGUUAGUAGCAAAUUCAAAACUUGAAAUGCCUAUUUCAAGUUACAAAAUUCAUCGCAUAAAGGAAAACAAGACUGGUUACUGUACACUCUGUACUUUAUACACAGAUUCAAGUCAAUGCACAAUGCAAGGUGAGCUCUAGUGCCAAAAACAGAUCCCUAGAAGUCACCCUGGAUGUUACAAACAAUUCAAUAGAGUUAAGGAACUGAGUACUGUGAUACCUAACAAGUGGUUAAGCAGCCUACAACGUCACUUGAUAGGGAAAUGUCACUUCAUUUUUCUAUCGACAGCUUCCACGCAUAAAUCGACUUAUGAUUUUAUCAUGAGAUUCCAGAUCCAGUAACAUCUGAAAUGUAGACGAAUCUGCCGAGAAUCUCCUACCAACCAUUUCAUCAAUAAGUCGUAUAGCAGUUGAUGAGUCCUGAUUUUGAAGAAAUCCUUGAAUGAUAACAUUAUAUGAGCAACUGUCCGGCAAGAAGCCAUCAUCUUCCAUUUUUCUAAAUAAAUCGUAUGCUUCAUCUGACAGCCCUUCUUUCAGCAGUCCCUUGAUCAUGACAGUGUAUGUCCGUAUAGUAGGCCGUAUUCCAUC